This 109-nucleotide transfer RNA is filed under the name Candidatus Woesearchaeota archaeon. RNAcentral's name for it is "tRNA-Met". It matches the Rfam family "tRNA". From Rfam's summary of the family: Transfer RNA (tRNA) molecules are approximately 80 nucleotides in length. Their secondary structure includes four short double-helical elements and three loops (D, anti-codon, and T loops). Lineage: Archaea; Nanobdellati; Candidatus Woesearchaeota. The record is from RNAcentral.
AGCGGAGUAGGGCAGCCAGGAACAAUUUUGCUUAUUUUCUGCAUAGUUGCUGUUAGUGCCCGUCGGGCUCAUAACCCGAAGGUCAGAGGUUCAAAUCCUCUCUCCGCUA